This is a non-coding RNA of Arachis ipaensis, 1195 nucleotides long. The record is from RefSeq and is a predicted model, not a curated record. Lineage: Eukaryota; Viridiplantae; Streptophyta; Magnoliopsida; Fabales; Fabaceae.
UUCAGUUUUGGAUAUGAUAUUUUUUAGAUUUUGGCUUUUUGUUUACUUUAGUCUACACCACAUGAAUGUGAUCUCAGAAUGAGUACAUUUUAAUGUAGCAUGAUGUAGCCUCCAUUGUAUUAGGGUGUAGUUGUAUUUUCCCUUGGUAUACGAUAGUGCAUCUCUUGGUUGAGCUUCAUUUCUUCAUUGCUAAUUACUAUUUGCUCAGCCAGCAGCUAAUCUUGAUAUGGGUCUAUGUUCUCACUCUGGGCAUUUUACUUUAGCUCCUAAGAGAUGAGGAAGGAAAAAAUCUUGGUCUGAAAGGCAGUGAGAAAAGCUCAGUUCAAAAAGAUAACAAUGAAAAAAUGGCAGAUGCAGAGGGAUCUUCAAAUGGAGGAGGCGAGCCAUCUGUAGCUCCAAUGGAAGAGGGUGAAAAAGUAACGCAUAUGACUGGAAUAUAUGAUUUGGUUGCCGUAUUGACCCACAAGGGUAGAAGUGCUGAUUCGGGACAUUAUGUUGGUUGGGUCAAGCAAGAACAUGGUGUGUGAAAAUUCUGUUCUUUAUCUCAAAAUUUUGUUGGUUGUCCCCACCACAACUUUCAACCCCUCUCAGGUAAUUCUGUUCUUUAUCUUAGAAUAAUGAUCACAAUUUAUAUUACCAUGACUACUACGAUGUCAGAAAUGUAGAAAUAGUAGACAGCUGCCACCCUUUUUUAUGUGUCUUGUUCACGAGGUGAGAUGAUACUGAUAAUUAGAGGCGGCGACAUUGCUUAUCGACCUUUGGUCAAUUUGUCAUUAAAUCAUUAUAUGGUAUUUCAUAACAUGUGAUUUUCGAAACAGAUAAUGUCAUUAUGGACUGGUUACAAAAUAUAUCUGAAAAAGGAUAAGAGAAGGAACAAAAAGGCAAAGUUUUCUUGUGAGGAAAGCAGUGAUGAUGAAGAAAAAGAAGCAGCAGUAAGAGCAAGUGAAGUGAAUUUUGCAGAUAAGAUAAGUGGAAUUAACACAAGACCUCCUUCACCAACUUCAUCUAUUAAUUAUUAGAGCAGCAAAAAUUGUUCAAAUAAGUUAGGAAAUUGAAUAAGAGUUGCUUGCAACAUAGGUCUUUCAAUUUACUAGUAUGAGAAAAAUCAUUUAGAGCCCUUUGGAUACCCAUUAACAACUUUUAAUUUAUUCAAUACACUUUGUUGAUGUAUGUUUGUUACUUAUUAUUAUAGUUG